This 857-nucleotide ribosomal RNA is filed under the name uncultured fungus. Its description in RNAcentral is "SSU rRNA". It matches the Rfam family "Eukaryotic small subunit ribosomal RNA", at positions 562 to 1459 of the family's 1831-position model. The record is from RNAcentral. Lineage: Eukaryota; Fungi.
UUGUGCCAGCAGCCGCGGUAAUUCCAGCUCCAAUAGCGUAUAUUAAAGUUGUUGCAGUUAAAAAGCUCGUAGUUGAAACUUGGGCCUGGCUGGCAGGUCCGCCUCACCGCGUGUACUUGUCCGGCCGGGCCUUUCCUUCUGGAGAACCUCAUGCCCUUCACUGGGUGUGUUGGGGAACCAGGACUUUUACUUUGAAAAAAUUAGAGUGUUCAAAGCAGGCCUUUGCUCGAAUACGUUAGCAUGGAAUAAUAGAAUAGGACGUGCGGUCCUAUUUUGUUGGUUUCUAGGACCGCCGUAAUGAUUAAUAGGGACAGUCGGGGGCAUCAGUAUUCAAUUGUCAGAGGUGAAAUUCUUGGAUUUAUUGAAGACUAACUACUGCGAAAGCAUUUUGCCAAGGAUGUUUUCAUUAAUCAGUGAACGAAAGUUAGGGGAUCGAAGACGAUCAGAUACCGUCGUAGUCUUAACCGUAAACUAUGCCGACUAGGGAUCGGGCGAUGUUCUUUUUCUGACUCGCUCGGCACCUUACGAGAAAUCAAAGUUUUUGGGUUCUGGGGGGAGUAUGGUCGCAAGGCUGAAACUUAAAGAAAUUGACGGAAGGGCACCACCAGGCGUGGAGCCUGCGCUUAAUUUGACUCAACACGGGGAAACUCACCAGGUCCAGAUGAAAUAAGGAUUGGCAGAUUGAGAGCUCUUUCUUGAUUUUCAGGUGGUGGUGCAUGGCCGUUCUAGGUGGUGGAGUGAUUUGUCUGCUACUGCGAUAACGAACGAGACUUAACCUGCUAAAUAGCCAGGCUAGCUUUGGCUGUCGCGGCUCUAGAGGACUAUCGGCUCAGCCGAUGAAGUUUGAGGCAUAACAG